AGUGUGUUUUUCAUCUGGGUCAAGAGGACGCAGGCUUCCCACCUCCAAGUGGAGGUUGAAAUUGAUCCCAUGCAGGGCCCUGUGGGGCUCCUGGGCACAAGACCUUUCUGUGUCCCCCAUUUCUUUGAUUAUAGGAAACAGCCUUUAUUCAGCCCGCAUGACCUUUCCUGGGUUCCAAUGGGCAGAUUCAAGCCACUGUUAAUUAGGGAAGGAAGGGGAUGUGAGACCAGGGAGAAAGAGUCAAGAGCAGCUUUGAGGCAGGGUCCUGUUUCCCCAUCAAAGGAUACACACAACAGUAUCUCUGAGCUGCUCUACAGAUACUGAAACCCCCUCCAGGUGGGAGAAGUUAGUGAUUAAUGAUGGUAUGUUGCCCACAAGCUUGUAGACCCCACAUCAGUUGGACCUGAAAGUUGAUGAUGUGGACUCCUAUUUACCUCAGCACCAACCCACUGGAAGAAUGUCUACAUUGGCUACAAUGUCUACAGUCCAUGGAGUCACAGAGUCAGACAUGACUGAUCGACUAAGCACCUUAGCACGUUCUAAAAGGGCUUCCCUGGUGGCUCAGCAGUAAAGAAUCUGCCUGCAAUGCCCGAGACCCGGCUUCGAUCCCUGGGUUGAGAAGAUCCCCUAGAGGAGGGCAUGGCAACCGACUCCAAUACUCUGGCCUAGAGAAUCCCAUGGGCAGAGGCACCUGGCCGACUGUAGCCCAUAGGAUCACACAGAGUUGGACACGACUGAAGCAACUAAGCAGCAGCAGAAGGCCAAGGCUUCAGAGAGAAAUACUUAAUAAUUAGUAUGUUAAAUUUCAUGGGAUUUCUAAAAAUCUGAUAUAGGGAAGCCCUUCUCCUCAAGUUGGUUAUGAUUUACAACAGUUUGGUAAAUUAUACCUCUGCUUCCUUAUGCUGCUGCUGCUAAGUCUCUUCAGUUGUGUCCGACUCUGUGUGACCCCAUAGAUGGCAGCCCACCAGGCUCCCGCAUCCCUGGAAUUCUCCAGACAAGAACACUGGAGUGGGUUGCCAUUUCCUUCUCCAAUGCAUGAAAGUGAAAAGUGAAAGUGAAGUCGCUCAGUCAUGUCCGACUCUUAGCGACCCCAUGGACUGCAGCCUACCAGGCUCCUCCAUCCAUGGGAUUUUCCAGGCAAGAGUACUGGAGUGGGGUGCCAUUGCCUUCUCCGUCCCUUAUGCUGGGGACAAUUAAAUCAUACUAAGGACUAAUACUGCUAGCUAUGUUAUUUUUUAUUUUACCUGUUUUACAAAAGUAUUGUUUACCGCAUUAUCAGAUAUGUGACUGAGCCUCUGAUAAAAUAACGAUAUAUAGUUC
This is a long non-coding RNA of Bos taurus (domestic cattle), 1320 nucleotides long. Lineage: Eukaryota; Metazoa; Chordata; Mammalia; Artiodactyla; Bovidae. The record is from Ensembl.